This is a non-coding RNA of Sardina pilchardus (European sardine), 461 nucleotides long. NCBI's taxonomy places the organism in Eukaryota, Metazoa, Chordata, Actinopteri, Clupeiformes, Clupeidae. The record is from the annotation of a RefSeq genome assembly.
UUCACAUCAACACCCACAGGAUGAAGGACACACUCUCACUGAUACUGCUACUCAGCACCAUAGCAUCAGUGGUGAAAAGCCAAAGCAUGGAGUCCAUUCCCUCCAGUGCAGUGCUGAAGAAACCUGGUGACACUCUCAGUCUCUCCUGUAAAGGAGCUGGGUUUAACUUUGGAAGCUACAGUAUGCACUGGAUCAGACAGCCUGCUGGGAAAGCACUGGAGUGGAUGGGUUUUAUCUAUACGGAUGGUAGUAAGACUGUCUAUUCCAGCAGCAUCCAAGGCCACAUAGAAAUCACCAGAAACAACCCCAACAGCAUGGUGUAUCUGAAACUGUCUGGUAUGAGGGCAGAGGACUCUGCUCUGUAUUACUGUGCAGCAGCACACAGUUACAGAAAGGCUUCGUGUGCCGUACAAAUACAGCCCCUGUAUUUCUCAAUUUUUAGACAACAGGGGGUAGUGUGA